GGUUUUGUAAGUCUGCUGUUAAAGCGUCAUGCUUAACAUCAUAAGGGCAGUGGAAACUAUGAGACUAGAGUACGUUAGGGGUAGAGGGAAUUCCCAGUGUAGCGGUGAAAUGCGUAGAGAUUGGGAAGAACACCGGUGGCGAAAGCGCUCUGCUGGGCCUGUACUGACGCUGAGGGACGAAAGCUAGGGGAGCGAAUGGGAUUAGAUACCCCAGUAGUCCUAGCCGUAAAC
This 231-nucleotide ribosomal RNA is filed under the name uncultured Calothrix sp. Its description in RNAcentral is "partial 16S ribosomal RNA". It matches the Rfam family "Bacterial small subunit ribosomal RNA", at positions 577 to 807 of the family's 1533-position model. Lineage: Bacteria; Bacillati; Cyanobacteriota; Cyanophyceae; Nostocales; Calotrichaceae. The record is from RNAcentral.